Molecule: ribosomal RNA, 253 nt
Filed under: uncultured bacterium
Lineage: Bacteria
Description: partial 16S ribosomal RNA
Rfam family: Bacterial small subunit ribosomal RNA
Source: RNAcentral
UACGGAGGGUGCAAGCAUUAAUCGGAUUUACUGGGCGUAAAGGGCGUGUAGGCGGGAAGGAAAGUUAGAUGUGAAAGCCUGAGGCUCAACUUCAGAAUGGCAUCUAAAACUCCCUUUCUAGAGGAUGGACGGAGAAAAUGGAAUUCCACGUGUAGCGGUGAAAUGCGUAGAUAUGUGGAGGAACACCGGUGGCGAAAGCGAUUUUCUAGUUUAGACCUGACGCUGAGGCGCGAAAGCAAGGGGAGCAAACAGG